This 465-nucleotide ribosomal RNA is filed under the name uncultured bacterium. RNAcentral describes it as "partial 16S ribosomal RNA". It matches the Rfam family "Bacterial small subunit ribosomal RNA", at positions 28 to 507 of the family's 1533-position model. The record is from RNAcentral.
GACGAACGCUGGCGGCGUGCUUAACACAUGCAAGUCGAACGGAAAGGCCCUGCUUUCAGGGUGCUCGAGUGUCGAACGGGGGAGUAACACGUGGGUGAUCUGCCCUGCACUUCGGGAUAAGCCUGGGGAACUGGGUCUAAUACCGGGGAGGGGCCAUUUUGAGUGUGAUGGUUGGAAAGUUUUUUCGGUGUAGGAUGAGCUCGCGGCCUUUCAGCUUGUUGGUGGGGUAAUGGGCUACCAAGGCGGCGAAGGGUAGCCGGCCUGAGAGGGUGGACGGCCAACUUUGGACUGGGAUUAGGGCCCGACCUCCUAGGGAGGCCGACGGGGGGAAAUUUGCAACAUGGGCGCGAGGCCGAUGGCGCGACGCCGCGGGGGGGAUGACGGGCUUCGGGUUGGAAAACCGCUUCGGCAGGGACGAAGCUUUUUGUGACGGUACCUAGAAAAGAAGCACCGGCUAACUACGUG